GUGUCAGCAGCCGCGGUAAUACGUAGGGGGCAAGCGUUGUCCGGAAUCAUUGGGCGUAAAGCGCGUGUAGGCGGCCUGCAAAGUCUGGUGUGAAAUCCCGGGGCUUAACCCCGGCUGGUCACUGGAUACUGGCAGGCUUGAGUCCGGAAGAGGAGAGUGGAAUUCCUGGUGUAGCGGUGGAAUGCGCAGAUAUCAGGAGGAACACCAAUGGCGAAGGCAGCUCUCUGGUACGUGACUGACGCUGAGACGCGAAAGCGUGGGGAGCAAACAGGAUUAGAUACCCCGGUAGUCC
Molecule: ribosomal RNA, 292 nt
Filed under: uncultured bacterium
Lineage: Bacteria
Description: partial 16S ribosomal RNA
Rfam family: Bacterial small subunit ribosomal RNA
Source: RNAcentral